This is a non-coding RNA of Macaca mulatta (Rhesus monkey), 247 nucleotides long. The record is from RefSeq and is a predicted model, not a curated record. NCBI's taxonomy places the organism in Eukaryota, Metazoa, Chordata, Mammalia, Primates, Cercopithecidae.
GGCGCGAAGCUGCACGUAAGGUGGGGAAGGCAAAGAGACUGCGCGGCGAGCGCGCACUGUGGGGCGCGCCCGCUUCCCGCCGCAGACCCCGGAGUGAACUGCGCUCCACGGAGGCCUGUGCUGGGAAGAAGCCGAGGAGUCUGAUGUGGUUUAUAAACAUAUAAACGGAUCAUUACUUAUAGAUUAUACAUAAAAAUGUUUUCAUCAAAGGAAAGUGUGAAGAUUAAAAUGGAAGAGCUCUGGAUCA